Molecule: long non-coding RNA, 429 nt
Filed under: Ictidomys tridecemlineatus (thirteen-lined ground squirrel)
Lineage: Eukaryota; Metazoa; Chordata; Mammalia; Rodentia; Sciuridae
Description: lncRNA (ENSSTOG00000031560.1)
Source: RNAcentral
GCGGAGGCCGGUGGUGCCUUAGUUGGUGCUGUGGGUUCCGUGGCAGAGCAGGACCAUCAUCCAAACACCCCAAUUCCAGCACAUCCAACAAAGGACGAGUCCUCGGCCCAAAGAGACAAUGACUGAUACCUGAGCCAAAGUCAACCUUGUGUGAUUUGACAUGGGAAAGGCCAACUGUAAAGAAGUGGCUCUGUGUCAACUGCCAAAGGGACUGAUUCAGACCAGAUGGACACACACCCCUGUUAAGUACGAGGAUGGGAGAAUAGUGGAAUUCUGUGGGCUGGAGAAAUGUAGGCAGCUGGGAGUUGAAGCACAGCAUGGUAGAUUCCAGCCCUCCUAUCCAGUCUUAUUGGUCCUGCAAUGGUGUGAUGAUACAGUCAGAAACAGCUGGAAGUUUCAAAGGAGCCAGACUGCAGAUCACCAGUAGGA